CACACGAAUCUCCGCAACGGAUAUCUCGGCUCUCCCAUCCAAGAAAAACGCAACAAAAAUGCGAUACCUGGUGUGAAUUGCAGAAUCCCGUGAACCAUCGAGUUUUUGAACGCAAGUUGCGCCCGAGGCCUUUUGGUCGAGGGCACGUCUGCCUGGGCGUCACGU
Molecule: ribosomal RNA, 165 nt
Filed under: Dinebra retroflexa
Lineage: Eukaryota; Viridiplantae; Streptophyta; Magnoliopsida; Poales; Poaceae
Description: 5.8S ribosomal RNA
Rfam family: 5.8S ribosomal RNA
About the family: 5.8S ribosomal RNA (5.8S rRNA) is a component of the large subunit of the eukaryotic ribosome. It is transcribed by RNA polymerase I as part of the 45S precursor that also contains 18S and 28S rRNA. Functionally, it is thought that 5.8S rRNA may be involved in ribosome translocation.
Source: RNAcentral